UACGUAGGUGGCAAGCGUUGUUCGGAAUUACUGGGCGUAAAGGGCUCGUAGGCGGCCAACUAAGUCAGACGUGAAAUCCCUCGGCUUAACCGGGGAACUGCGUCUGAUACUGGAUGGCUUGAGAUUGGGAGAGGGAUGCGGAAUUCCAGGUGUAGCGGUGAAAUGCGUAGAUAUCUGGAGGAACACCGGUGGCGAAGGCGGCAUCCUGGACCAACACUGACGCUGAGGGAGCGAAAGCCAGGGGAGCAAACGGG
Molecule: ribosomal RNA, 254 nt
Filed under: uncultured bacterium
Lineage: Bacteria
Description: partial 16S ribosomal RNA
Rfam family: Bacterial small subunit ribosomal RNA
Source: RNAcentral